This 594-nucleotide long non-coding RNA is filed under the name Coturnix japonica (Japanese quail). RNAcentral describes it as "lncRNA (ENSCJPG00005001818.1)". The record is from RNAcentral. Lineage: Eukaryota; Metazoa; Chordata; Aves; Galliformes; Phasianidae.
UGGGGUCCAUAAGGGUUCUAUUGGGGUCUAUGGGUUCUAUCUGGGGUCCAUUGGGUUCCAUUGGGGUCCUACUGGGGUCCAUUGGGUUCCACUGGGGUCCAUUGGGAUCUGUUGGGGUCCAUUGGGGUCCAUUGGGGUCUGUUGGGGUCCAUUGGGGUCUACUGGGGUCCAUUGGGUUCCAUUGGGGUCCAUUGGGUUCCAUUGUGUUCAUUUGGGGUCUAUUGGGGUCCAUUGGGUUCAUGGGCGGUCUAUUGGGUCCAUAGGUUCUAUUUGGGCCUAUAGGGUUCUAUUGGGGUCCCAUAGGGUUCUACUUGGGGCCCAUAGGAUGCUAGUUGGGUUCAUUGGGUUCCAUUGGGGUCCAUUGGUUCCAAUUGGGUUCAUUUGGGUUUUUGGGUUCCUUGGGGUCUAUAUGGGGCUCAUGGGAUUCCAUUGGGGUCUAUUGGGCCAUUGGGGUCAUAGGGUUCUAUUGGGCCCAUAGGGUUUAUUGGGGUCCAUAGGUUCUAAUGGGGCCAAUAGGGUUCUAUUGGGUCCAUAAGGUUCUAAUGGGCCCAUAGGGUUUAUUAUUGGGGUCCAUAGGGUUCUAUUGGGGCCUAU